RNAcentral lists this ribosomal RNA (634 nucleotides) under Microbotryum adenopetalae. RNAcentral's name for it is "LSU rRNA". It matches the Rfam family "Eukaryotic large subunit ribosomal RNA", at positions 37 to 668 of the family's 3401-position model. Lineage: Eukaryota; Fungi; Basidiomycota; Microbotryomycetes; Microbotryales; Microbotryaceae. The record is from RNAcentral.
UGCAUAUCAAUAAGCGGAGGAAAAGAAACUAACCAGGAUUCCCCUAGUAACGGCGAGUGAAGCGGGAAAAGCUCAAAUUUGUAAUCUGGCGCCUUGGGCGUCCGAGUUGUAAUCUCGAGAAGUAUUUUCCGCGCUGGACCGCACAUAAGUCUGUUGGAAUACAGCGUCAUAGUGGUGAGAACCCCGUAUAGGGUGCGGAUGCCCAGUGCUUUGUGAUAUACUUUCGAAGAGUCGAGUUGUUUGGGAAUGCAGCUCAAAUGGGGUGGUAAAUUCCAUCUAAAGCUAAAUAUUGGCGAGAGACCGAUAGCGAACAAGUACCGUGAGGGAAAGAUGAAAAGCACUUUGGAAAGAGAGUUAACAGUACGUGAAAUUGUUGGAAGGGAAACGCUUGAAGUCAGACUUGCUUUUUGGAGUUCAGCCGCAAGGUGUAUUCUUCAAUUUGCAGGCCAGCAUCAGUUUUUGGGGGUGGAAAAGCGUGGUUGGAAGGUAGCAGUCUCGGCUGUGUUAUAGCUAUCCACUGGAUUCACUUUUGGGGACUGAGGAAUGCAGUACGCUUUUUGCAAGAUUCUAGGGUCUUUCGUACUUAGGAUGCUGGUGGAAUGGCUUUAAACGACCCGUCUUGAAACACGGACCA